This 867-nucleotide ribosomal RNA is filed under the name Triticum aestivum (bread wheat). Its description in RNAcentral is "partial small subunit ribosomal RNA". The record is from RNAcentral. Lineage: Eukaryota; Viridiplantae; Streptophyta; Magnoliopsida; Poales; Poaceae.
AUGCAGAUGGAUAGACGUUGGAUUCGUGGUACACUGUUCUGUCGUGAGUACAUUAAUGGUGUCAAAGAGUUUAUGAACCUCAUUCAAGAGAAAUUUAGUGAGGAUGAUAAAAUACUCUGCCCAUGUAGAGAAUGCCUUAAUCACAAAUACUGGCAUCAGGCCGUUGUGAACAAGCACAUAUUGACAAAUGGCAUGGAAACUACAUACACUCGUUGGAUAUAUCACGGAGAAGACUUCGAUGCAGAUGUUAUUGAACAUCCUGUUGAUGUGCAUGAGACCGAGGAUGGUAACAAUGGUGAUGACCGAUUUGAUGAGAUGUUUGGAGACCUAUGCAUAGCAGUACAACAAGGUCAGAAGGAAACUGAAGAUGAAGAUGGUAACAACGAUGCAAACCCUUCUGAGAAUGAGUCUUUUCUGGCGAACGUGAAGAAAGAGGCUAAGCGACACCUUUAUCAUGGUUGUACCAAGUUUUCAAGGUUCUCAUUUGUGGUGAAGCUUCUUCAUUUGAAGUCAUCCCAUAGGAUCACAAAUAGUGCAUUUACUGACAUAUUGAAGCUAUUGGCUGAAGCUUUCCCUCAACCAAAUACACUCCCAAAGUCGUAUGAGGAAGCAAAAAAUCUUCUGAAGGAAUUAGGCCUUGGGUAUGAGUCUAUACAUGUGUGCUUCAAUAACUGCGUUCUGUUCAGAAAGCAAUAUGCCAAGCAUGACAACUGCCCAGUUUGUGGCAUGUCAAGGUGGAAAGACCCUGCUAGAAAGAAGAUUCCACAGAAAGUUUUGAGGCAUUUCCCAUUGGUCCCUAGGCUGAAGAGGAUGUUCCUUUCCAGAAAAAUAGCAGAAGAAGCGCAGUGGCACAAGCUAAAGAGGUAG